GACGAACGCUGGCGGCGUGCCUAAUACAUGCAAGUAGAACGCUGAAGGAGGAGCUUGCUUCUCCGGAUGAGUUGCGAACGGGUGAGUAACGCGUAGGUAACCUGCCUGGUAGCGGGGGAUAACUAUUGGAAACGAUAGCUAAUACCGCAUAAGAGUAGAUGUUGCAUGACAUUUGCUUAAAAGGUGCAAUUGCAUCACUACCAGAUGGACCUGCGUUGUAUUAGCUAGUUGGUGAGGUAACGUCUCACCAAGGCGACGAUACAUAGCCGACCUGAGAGGGUGAUCGGCCACACUGGGACUGAGACACGGCCCAGACUCCUACGGGAGGCAGCAGUAGGGAAUCUUCGGCAAUGGACGGAAGUCUGACCGAGCAACGCCGCGUGAGGGAAGAAGGUUUUCGGAUCGUAAAGCUCUGUUGUAAGAGAAGAACGAGUGUGAGAGUGGAAAGUUCACACUGUGACGGUAUCUUACCAGAAAGGGACGGCUAACUACGUG
This 495-nucleotide ribosomal RNA is filed under the name uncultured bacterium. RNAcentral describes it as "partial 16S ribosomal RNA". It matches the Rfam family "Bacterial small subunit ribosomal RNA", at positions 28 to 507 of the family's 1533-position model. The record is from RNAcentral.